Molecule: unclassified non-coding RNA, 838 nt
Filed under: Hevea brasiliensis (rubber tree)
Lineage: Eukaryota; Viridiplantae; Streptophyta; Magnoliopsida; Malpighiales; Euphorbiaceae
Source: RNAcentral
CGGGCGGGCAUCUCCCGCAACGCAAGCUGCAUUGUUCGCCACCACCCGAGAAGCAAAAGAUUCGAGAGUCCCAGGCUGAAAAUACAUGCAUAGAUAGUGGUCUAAUGACAAGGGCCGACGACGGAAGCUCGGGACGGAGCCGUAUGAUGCGGAAGUCUCACGUACGGUUCCCUGAGAAGGGAGUGGCUACCUACUGGAGCUUCGACCAACCACCACCGGUCAAUUCCGCUUUGGGGCCACCCCUUACUCUACCAUUAUUAUAGGGGUAUGGGGUUCGAGACAAAGAAAGAUCAAGGCAGCAUAUCAGUUUUUCCUUUAUACUUUACUUGGAUCUGUUUUUAUGCUAUUAGCUAUUCUCUUGAUUCUUCUCCAAACAGGAACCACCGAUUUACAAAUAUUAUUAACCACAGAAUUUAGUGAGCGGCGCCAAAUCUUUCUAUGGAUUGCUUUUUUCGCCUCUUUCGCCGUCAAAGUGCCUAUGGUACCAGUUCAUAUUUGGUUACCCGAAGCUCAUGUAGAGGCACCUACGGCAGGAUCCGUCAUCUUGGCAGGAAUUCUUUUAAAAUUGGGAACCUACGGCUUUUUAAGAUUUUCAAUACCCAUGUUUCCCGAAGCGACACUUUUUUUCACUCCUUUCAUUUAUACUUUAAGCGCGAUUGCUAUAAUAUAUACUUCCUUGACCACUUUAAGACAGAUCGAUCUUAAGAAGAUCAUUGCUUACUCCUCAGUAGCCCAUAUGAAUCUGGUGACUAUUGGUAUGUUUAGUCUGAACAUACAGGGAAUUGGAGGUAGCAUUCUACUGAUGUUAAGUCAUGGACUGGUUUCUUCAGCCCUUUUU